RNAcentral lists this ribosomal RNA (1407 nucleotides) under metagenome. RNAcentral's name for it is "SSU rRNA". It matches the Rfam family "Eukaryotic small subunit ribosomal RNA", at positions 245 to 1691 of the family's 1831-position model. The record is from RNAcentral.
AUUGAAUUAUAAUAUAUCCACAAAUCAACCGUAAUAGGAUGAUAACUCACUUAAAUUUCUGACCUAUCAGCUUAGUUGUUAGUGUAUUGGACUAACAAAGCAGAAACGGGUGACGGGGGAUUAGGGUCCGAUUCCUGAGAGGGAGCCUGAGAAACGGCUACCACUUCCAAGGAAGGCAGCAGGCACGUAAAUUACCCAAUCCUGACUUAGGGAGGUAGUGACAAGAAAUAACAAUACGAAGCCUUUACAGGUUUUGUAAUUGGAAUGCGUACAAUGUAAAUACAUUAACAAGAACCAAUUGGAGGGCAAGUCUGGUGCCAGCAGCCGCGGUAACACCAGCUCCAAGAGCAUAUGCUAACAUUGCUGCAGUUUAAAGGCUCGUAGUCGAAAUAUUGGUUUCCGUUGCGAAUUCGGCGGUCUACGACUGUCCGACUCUUUGCGUGGAUUCUUUUAUCUGGCCUACUUAACAUCUCUUGAGUGAGUUUGUUAUGAAUCCAGAUCAUUUACUGUGAGCAAAACAAAGUGCUUAAAGCAGGUCUUUGCCUGAAUGCACUAGCAUGGGAUAAUUUUAGAGGACUUUGUGACUUCUUUAAUUCUUCUUCACAAAGUAAUGAUUGACAGAAUUAGAUGGGGGUGCUAGUAUUCAACGGUCAGCGGUGAAAUGUACAGACCCGUUGAAGACUUCCCAGAGCGAAAGCAUUCACCAGGAAUAAUUUCUUUGAUCAAGAACGAAAGUUGGGGGAUCGAAGACGAUCAGAUACCGUCGUAGUCUCAACCAUAAACUAUGCCAACUCGAAUUUGGUAGUUGUGGAUCUGCUCUAUCAGGAUCGUCUAGAGAAAUCAAAGUAUCUAGGCUCUGGGGGGAGUAUGGUCACAAGGCUGAAACUUAAAGGAAUUGACGGAAGGGCACUACCAGGAGUGGAACUUGCGGCUUAAUUUGACCCAACACGGGAAAUCUUAUCAGGUCCGGACAUUUUAAGGAUUGACAGGUUGAAGAUCUUUCUUAAUUUUAUGCAUGGUGGUGCAUGGCCGUUCUUAGUUGGUGGAGUGAUUUGUCUGGUUAAUUCCGUUAACGGACGAGAUCUUAGCUUGAUAUUUAGCAGGAACAAAUUCUUUUGUUUCGCGCUUCUUAUAGGGACCAUCUGAUAUUAUCACCUGGAAGUUUAAGGCAAUAACAGGUCUGUGAUGCCCUUAGAUGUUCUGGGCCGCACGCGAGUUACAAUGACUGUCGCAGCGAGAAUCGGUUAUGAAAUUGUAACUGAGGAUCAGACAAAAACAGGCGUACUUGAACUUGCUAAUUGUAAUUAUUUGUCAUAAACGAGGAAUUCCUAGUAUCUGUUUGGUCAUGAACCAGCAUAGAUUAUGUCCCUGCCCUUUGUACACACCGCCCGUCGCUCCUAUCGAUAG